RNAcentral lists this ribosomal RNA (328 nucleotides) under uncultured eukaryote. RNAcentral describes it as "partial 18S ribosomal RNA". It matches the Rfam family "Eukaryotic small subunit ribosomal RNA", at positions 1470 to 1796 of the family's 1831-position model. The record is from RNAcentral.
CCCUUAGAUGUUCUGGGCCGCACGCGCGCUACACUGACUACUUCAACGAGUUGUUUCCUUGAUCGAAAGGUCUGGGUAAUCUUUGAAAGGUAGUCGUGAUGGGGAUAGAUCCUUGCAAUUUUUGAUCUUCAACGAGGAAUUCCUAGUAAACGCAAGUCACCAGCUUGCAUUGAUUACGUCCCUGCCCUUUGUACACACCGCCCGUCGCACCUACCGAUUGAAUGGUCCGGUGAAUCUUUAGGACUGUGGCUGAGGCCUUGCCUUGUGCGGGUCUGGCCGUGGGAAUUUAGUUAAACCUUACCAUUUAGAGGAAGGUGAAGUCGUAACA